AGAAGCCCGCUGACACCCAGACGCGCUCUUUCACAGCCUGGGAACCCACGUCAACCCCCUUACCUCGCCAUGCAUCACUCAUCUUAACCGACGUGAAUGCAGGUGCGGCGAGUGCCAUCCCCAACGGUGGAGAGACGGGCACCGCUCACUGACCCCGCAGCGAGGCACGGCCAGGACACCGCAACUCACGCAGCCUGAAAAGCCUAAACUGAAGAGGCGGGGCGGGAGCGAUCCCGCGAGAAGACCGGAGGUGGCGAGACCGCGUCUCUUCGUAUCGCGAGGCUUGCGCUACUUCUCGCGAGAGCUACCGGAAGUCUUGGCCGCCGGCUGCCAGCGUCGGGCCUUAGGUGAGAACUGUGCUACGUAAUGACCGGACGCGGCUCGGAGCCUUCAGGUAGCAGCCACCUGCCUACACUGCGAGUAAUGAAGACUCAACAGAACCCAAAGCAAGAUGAAGUUCCUUCUGUAUAUCAUCUUUGCUGUUAGCUGGAAUUUUAUUGUAACAAGUUAAUGAAAUGUGUGUGGUGGUUUAUGAGCCAGUGGUAACAGAAGAAUAGCAGGCAUGAAAGCACUGACAGAGUUGCUUCAACAAUAAACUACAUAAAUUUUGGAUACCGCAUAUGUUGGGGUAGGUUGUUCAAAAAUAUAGUACCAAUAAAUUCAAUUGUUUUUAAAAUAUACAUGUAGUCAUGUUUAGCUACACUGAUUCUAAAGGAAUGUGACAAUAGCCGUACCAUCAUAAAAACAAAGCUGGAAACAGCAUGAUGUUUUCAAAAUUUGGCAAAAUAACCAGAAUCAGAAACUUAAUGAAUUUCAGCCCUCAAAGCAUGUUAGAAAAUUCUGCAAGAACAUGUAAGUUGUCAUUCUAAGGCAAACUUUUAAACUGGGUCAUGUUUGAAGAUAAAUGUUCAUACCACAAGGUGUUUGUUUAAUGAAUGUUAUGUUGCAUUUGAUUAUUACAGAGAUAGUUCUGCUUAAUGAGGAUUCUU
Molecule: long non-coding RNA, 989 nt
Filed under: Gallus gallus (chicken)
Lineage: Eukaryota; Metazoa; Chordata; Aves; Galliformes; Phasianidae
Description: long non-coding RNA NONGGAT011877
Source: RNAcentral